Molecule: transfer RNA, 68 nt
Filed under: Stichopus horrens (warty sea cucumber)
Lineage: Eukaryota; Metazoa; Echinodermata; Holothuroidea; Aspidochirotida; Stichopodidae
Also listed under: 2 other names
Description: tRNA-His
Source: RNAcentral
AUUUAAGUAGUUUAUUAAAAUACCAAUUUGUGGCAUUGGAGAUGGCGAAUACACACCGCCCUUAAAUC